RNAcentral lists this ribosomal RNA (460 nucleotides) under uncultured bacterium. RNAcentral's name for it is "partial 16S ribosomal RNA". It matches the Rfam family "Bacterial small subunit ribosomal RNA", at positions 338 to 795 of the family's 1533-position model. The record is from RNAcentral.
CCUACGGGCGGCAGCAGUGAGGAAUAUUGGUCAAUGGACGAGAGUCUGAACCAGCCAAGUAGCGUGAAGGAUGACUGCCCUAUGGGUUGUAAACUUCUUUUAUAUGGGAAUAAAAUGUUCCACGUGUGGGAUUUUGUAUGUACCAUAUGAAUAAGGAUCGGCUAACUCCGUGCCAGCAGCCGCGGUAAUACGGAGGAUCCGAGCGUUAUCCGGAUUUAUUGGGUUUAAAGGGAGCGUAGGUGGAUUGUUAAGUCAGUUGUGAAAGUUUGCGGCUCAACCGUUAAAUUGCAGUUGAAACUGGCAGUCUUGAGUACAGUAGAGGUGAGCGGAAUUCGUGGUGUAGCGGUGAAAUGCUUAGAUAUCACGAAGAACUCCGAUUGCGAAGGCAGUUCACUGGACUGCAACUGACACUGAGGCUCGAAAGUGUGGGUAUCAAACAGGAUUAGAUACCCCGGUAGUC